UACGUAGGGGGCUAGCGUUAUCCGGAAUUACUAGGCGUAAAGGGCAGGCAGGCGGAUCCAUAAGUUUAUCGUUUAAGGCGUCGGCUUAACCGGCGUAGGGCGGUAGAUACUGUGGAUCUGGAAUGCGGUUGGGGAAGACAGAAUUCCUGGUGUAGCGGUGGAAUGCGCAGAGAUCAGGAGGAAUACCGAAGGCGAAGGCAGUCUUCCAAGCCGUUAUUGACGCUCAACUGCGAAGGUGUGGGUAUCAAACAGGAUUAGAUACCCUGGUAGUCCCUGA
RNAcentral lists this ribosomal RNA (277 nucleotides) under uncultured prokaryote. RNAcentral's name for it is "partial 16S ribosomal RNA". It matches the Rfam family "Bacterial small subunit ribosomal RNA", at positions 524 to 800 of the family's 1533-position model. The record is from RNAcentral.